ACUACUUGGAUUUCUAAAAUGGAAAGUGGGUGUAUGCAAAUUAAUCAAGGUGGUCAUGUAUAAUGCCCCACUUAUCUAAUUUUUGAACUAUUAUUUAAAAAACUUACAUUGUUAUCUGGCCAUGAAUCUACAUUUAUGGGUAUUGUAGGCCGUUAAUUACAUCAUUUUAUUAUUAUUUUUGUGGUCUGGCCUCUAGAACUCAAUUUGGAACUGCUUUUCUUGAAUGGAGAAGAAUUCGGUGAUAUUUGCUUGUCGCCUUUUGUGGUGUCAGAUCCACCAUACAUUUGCCAUGCACGCACUUAAAUUUAGAUUGUCCAAAUUGUGGGGCUGGUUGUGGAUGGAGCAUUUCAAAUUGAGCACCAUCCUAUAGCUUGCUAUCAAAUGGAUGCUUGCAGAUGAAGAAACUGUUCAAUAGUCUAAAUUUAACGAAUGAAAUAAGAUGGCUAAGAUCAUUUAAUUAGUUCCGGUAUCUGCCUAUGCCCCACUAUUUCAGUCCAAAUUCCAGAUUGCUGUGCAUUUAUACCAAGUAGAGGAUUUUUUUUUUUUUUUACCAGAUCAUGUGCAUGGUGAAUGAGACAACAGUGAACAAACACUGUAGUCUACUCCUUUGAAAAAAGAGCUGCAUUAAGAUACAUCCUACCAGUCCUUGGAUAUCAUGGCACUUCUUUUUGUGUUCACUGUCUAACAAGAAACACCUUGUGCUGUUGUUCCAAUCUAAGGUUAGUGAAGGGUAGUCUCUUUGUUGUGGGAACCAGGUCCAGCAGGACGGAAGUCCUAUUGCUUUAUUAUUAUUAUUAUUAUUAUUAUUAUUAUUAUUAUUGUUUUGUACUCCAUACUUUAGUUCCAUUUUGCGUGUGUUUAGAUGCACUUUGAACUGCAUUACAAUUCCCUCUUACAAAGUGGGAAUAACCAAAUCAGAGUUCUGUUCUUUCACAUUCAUAUUGAAGGCCUGAGAUCCACAUUGCAGUUUUGCUGAUUUCAAGCUGGAAUUGAGGAAAUGCAAUUGCAAUUUGAGGGCUACUUCCUCGUUUUGAAUGCCAGGAACAUUAGCAACUUUUGGUAUUUCACUUUGGCAUCCAAACACAGCUUUUUAAGUUCUAUCACUAAUGGUGGCUGGCACAAUUUGAACCAUCAAAUUAUAUGUAGUUGUAAAACUUGCCAGAUUAUGAUGGCUGGUUUUUCUGACUACUGUCACCUAGACCAGGAUUUUUGUGCUGUUCUUGGGUGCUCUCAGUCCAUCUAACCCCUACCAUUUGGUAAGUAAUUUUAACAAAUUGAAUCAUAGCCCUUGUUUGAUUUGUAUAGAAGUUCCAUUUAUUUCAACAAUACCAUUGUCACUGCCUUCAAUGCUCAACAUGGGUUUGUGAAGAAAAUCGACAGCAAGUGAAUAAAAAUAACCCAAUAUCACAAUCCUUUGAAAUUCUAGUUUAAGUAAGAUUUCAAAUUAACCUUGCCCAUGGUAGGAUGGUGAUAUGAAACCUGAUUGGGUCAAUGAGAUUGUCAUGGCCAUUAGCAAAACUGGUUUUGAUCAAUCGAACAUCCAGCCUAGCGUAACUGAGUACUGACUGAUGUUUGCAUUUGGUGGAUUGAAGUGCAACGUAAAAGUGGUACCUUAUAGUUAUAUAUUUUGCAUGAUCAUCUUGGUGUUAUUAAGUCAAUUUGAAUUGCCUAAUUACAUUAGAUAAGAACACGAGAAGGAUGUGUUUCUCUGUGAACUGACUGAAGCUUUUGAUGCUUGAUGAUUCAAUUACUUCGUUUUUCAGGAGAGGACUGUUUAAGAGGUGCUAUUUGUUGUUGAAGAUUCCAAUGUGAAAGGCUGCGAUUAGGAGUAGUUUGAGUUCUUUGGAUACUGGAAUUGACAACAAAAGGGGAAUUCCUGAAGUUAUUGAAGACUUUAAGAAAGGCAUUGGGAGUUCUGUCCAAUUGCAUGUAGGUACGCGUACCAAUAUAGCAGAGAAGUAGUUGAUCUGAGCUUUCCAUCAAGUGGGCUACACCAUUUCGAUCUUGCAAGGUACUCUCCCAACUGCAGAUCAGGCCUUAACAGAUUGUUCCAAUUGGUUUGUGUGAGAAUUUCUAACAAUUGCAAUCAACAGUCCAAGGCUCUACGCUGCUCCAAUGCCCAAUUUAAGGGCCUGUUUGGAUUUACGCAUACCAUUGUGUUGUAUUC
Magnolia sinica is the source of this 2167-nucleotide long non-coding RNA. RefSeq lists it as uncharacterized. Lineage: Eukaryota; Viridiplantae; Streptophyta; Magnoliopsida; Magnoliales; Magnoliaceae. The record is from RefSeq and is a predicted model, not a curated record. The transcript has 3 exons.